AGGUGUGAAGGUGAUCUAGCUGUGACAUCUGCUCCCCCCAUUGAUUGCCAGGGUUGAUUCAGCUGAUCUAGCUGGCUAGAGAUGUGUCCUUUUCCUUCCUCUUGCUUCCUGUAUGUCCUUCCCAAAGCUGCAUACUUCAUUGAAAAGGACAACUACCCUCAAUGGAGGAGGACCAUUUUCUCGGUGAGGGUACACAAGUAGCUGUGCUUCCCUCCUAAAACCUCCAAACAAGCUCUCAGAAAACUUCCAACUUGACGUAUGCUUUUAGCAAAAACAAAAGUUAAUAUUACAAACCUCUUCUUU
This 303-nucleotide small nuclear RNA is filed under the name Chinchilla lanigera (long-tailed chinchilla). RNAcentral describes it as "7SK RNA (ENSCLAG00000022202.1)". It matches the Rfam family "7SK RNA". Rfam says of the family: 7SK was discovered as an abundant small nuclear RNA in the mid-70s but a possible function has only recently been suggested. Two independent studies have found that 7SK RNA binds the CDK9/cyclin T complex (known as elongation factor P-TEFb). The record is from RNAcentral. Lineage: Eukaryota; Metazoa; Chordata; Mammalia; Rodentia; Chinchillidae.